AAAUUGAAGAGUUUGAUCAUGGCUCAGAUUGAACGCUGGCGGCAGGCCUAACACAUGCAAGUCGAACGGUAACAGGAAGCAGCUUGCUGCUUUGCUGACGAGUGGCGGACGGGUGAGUAAUGUCUGGGAAACUGCCUGAUGGAGGGGGAUAACUACUGGAAACGGUAGCUAAUACCGCAUAAUGUCGCAAGACCAAAGAGGGGGACCUUCGGGCCUCUUGCCAUCGGAUGUGCCCAGAUGGGAUUAGCUAGUAGGUGGGGUAAAGGCUCACCUAGGCGACGAUCCCUAGCUGGUCUGAGAGGAUGACCAGCCACACUGGAACUGAGACACGGUCCAGACUCCUACGGGAGGCAGCAGUGGGGAAUAUUGCACAAUGGGCGCAAGCCUGAUG
Molecule: ribosomal RNA, 391 nt
Filed under: Escherichia coli
Lineage: Bacteria; Pseudomonadati; Pseudomonadota; Gammaproteobacteria; Enterobacterales; Enterobacteriaceae
Description: bacterial SSU rRNA
Rfam family: Bacterial small subunit ribosomal RNA
Source: RNAcentral